GAGUUUGAUCGUGGCUCAGGAUGAACGCUGGCGGCGUGCCUAACACAUGCAAGUCGAACGGAGUUCUUAAGGAAUGCGGCUUCGGCCAAAUGACUUUUGAACUUAGUGGCGGACGGGUGAGUAACGCGUGAGCAACCUGCCUUUCAGAGGGGGAUAACAUUUGGAAACAGAUGCUAAUACCGCAUAAGAUUACAGUACCGCAUGAUACAGUGAUCAAAGGAGCAAUCCGCUGAAAGAUGGGCUCGCGUCCGAUUAGAUAGUUGGUGAGGUAACGGCUCACCAAGUCGACGAUCGGUAGCCGGACUGAGAGGUUGAACGGCCACAUUGGGACUGAGACACGGCCCAGACUCCUACGGGAGGCAGCAGUGGGGAACAUUGCACAAUGGGCGAAAGCCUGAUGCAGCAACGCCGCGUGAGGGAAGACGGUUUCGGAUUGUAAACCUCUGUUUCGGUGACGAACAAAUGACGGUACCGAGUAGGAAGCCACGGCUAACUACGUGCCAGCAGCCGCAAC
RNAcentral lists this ribosomal RNA (514 nucleotides) under uncultured microorganism. RNAcentral describes it as "bacterial SSU rRNA". It matches the Rfam family "Bacterial small subunit ribosomal RNA", at positions 9 to 521 of the family's 1533-position model. The record is from RNAcentral.